CUUAUCAUACUUAAGAUAUUUCAAAAAACAUAUUUCUAGUCCCGAGUUAUUUAACCUGGGAGCUUUCACUAAGGCGACUUCUGAUAUUGAGAGCUGAUCAAUUGCAUACAAAUUGAGUUCUGUCCCUGUAACCAUAUCCUUUACGGCUGUUGCUGGAAUUAGAGGCAUCCACUGAGCUCGGUUCAAGGUGGCUGUAAUGGCGAAACAAUUAAGGAGCUGGAGCUGGAGCUGGAGCUAGGAGGGGGAUCGUCGUGCCCUCUGAAAAUAAACUUACUUACCCUGCAAUC
Molecule: long non-coding RNA, 287 nt
Filed under: Populus trichocarpa (black cottonwood)
Lineage: Eukaryota; Viridiplantae; Streptophyta; Magnoliopsida; Malpighiales; Salicaceae
Description: long non-coding RNA (PTRI_LNC002491)
Source: RNAcentral